Beta vulgaris subsp. vulgaris (sugar beet) is the source of this 1553-nucleotide long non-coding RNA. RefSeq lists it as uncharacterized. NCBI's taxonomy places the organism in Eukaryota, Viridiplantae, Streptophyta, Magnoliopsida, Caryophyllales, Amaranthaceae. The transcript has 3 exons. The record is from RefSeq and is a predicted model, not a curated record.
GUUGAGAAUGCCACAUUAUUUCCUUGUUGUCAAAUUCUCACAAUUCUUCCUUAAAGAUAUAAAGAACUCAUACCCAAUUUCCUCCUUCUUCAUUCACUACUAUAUCUCUCAAUUCCCUUCAACAGAAUAAAAGAAACCCCAAACCCCAAUUCAUUUUCUCUCUCCUCUGAUUUUAUACCCCGUACUGUGCAUGCUCAAUUUCUGCAUUUUAUAGUCGGAAUUUGCCCAAACUUAUUGAAUCAAAGUUGUAGAUCUCGAAAAGUUAUUGAACUUAGACCCAAAAAUCACUUGAUUUGGAGUUCGGAGCUAUGAGUUAUGGUCUUUGCAAAUUUGGUGUUGCUACCUUCAAUUCUCUCACCUUUGUUUUCACUCCGACAAUCUGUUGCCCCAAUUAUCUACAACAUGCAAUCCAAUUUUGCUCUUUGUUGCUGAAUCAAAGUUGUAGAUCACUUCAAGCUAAUGAAUUUGGGCACAAAAAUCACUUGAUUUGGAGUUCAGAGCUAUGAGUUAUGGUCUUUUUGUAGAUCACUUCGAGCUAAUGAAUUUGAGCACAAAAAUCGCUCAAUUUGGAGUUCGGAGCUAUGAGUUACGCCUCACACAAGUUCAGCACUGCUGCUGUACCUUGUGUUGCGCUGCUGUCGGGGUUGGCUUGUUUGCCCAUGUUAUCAUUGCUAACUUGUUGCCUUGUUGCUGCCAUUGUUGGUAUUCCUUUCCAUAUGAAGGUAUAAGAUAAAUUUUUCUUAAUUCCUCAUCUCCUUCGAUUCCAAUUCAAGUGUGGUGCAAUUGGAUUUUAUUUAUGAUUUUAGAAAUAAACUUGGUUCUAAAUUUUGUUAUUGAUUAGCAAAUAUAGUUAUGAUAAGAGUUGUUAAACUUAAAGAUUGAAUACUUUAUCUUUCUUAUUGGAUUGAAGCUUCUAAUAUGAAGUAAGCCACUUAAGUAAGUUUAUAAAAACUGAUUUUUAUAAAUUAUGUUGUUUGAUAAUACUCUUUGAAAUCAGAAUGAUGUUAAUUAGAGAUGGAAUUGAUGUUAUGAGUUGGAUUAGUAGAAUGGGUUAUAUAUAAGAGUUGUGGUGGUUAGUUCAUGGAAGAGCUUAGAAAGUAUGAGUAAUUCAAUUUAUUUAUCUAAUAGGUAGUAAGGAUGUUAAUUGUUGUUCUAUUGUUGUGAGGUGAUUGUUGGAGAUUGUAAAGAAUUUAGAGAUGUCGGAUCUUGAAGAAUUAUUAUGGAAUUGAGCAUUCCUUGGGGAAAAUGAAGGAGAGUUCUUUGUUAGUGAUCUUGCAGGUUCGUAUGUGGAAAGCUCGAAAUGGAGUAAAAGGAAGAAUUUAAGUAUCAAGGUUAUUAUGAGAUGUAAGGGUUCCGAGGUUGUAUUUGGGAUUAUUUAUCCUUAUUUAUGAAUAAAUUAUUAUAUUGCUUUAGAAGUCGAGCAAGAUAUUAUUGUAAUAUGUUAUUGGUUAUUGAGAAUGUGUUGUGGGCCCUGACCCACAGGUCCAGGAUCGUGUAUUGAAGGUUUUAUUCCGCUGCGAGUAAAUAAUUAAUUCGAGGCUAUUAAGUGUUAA